RNAcentral lists this ribosomal RNA (98 nucleotides) under Mus pahari (shrew mouse). RNAcentral describes it as "rRNA (MGP_PahariEiJ_G0032729.1)". The record is from RNAcentral. Lineage: Eukaryota; Metazoa; Chordata; Mammalia; Rodentia; Muridae.
GUCUGUAGCUGUUCCACCCUGAAAAUGGAAGAUAAGCAGGAUCAGGCCUGGUUUGAAGCUGGAUGGGAGACUGCUGGGAAUAUUGGAUGUUAUAGGCA